This 305-nucleotide ribosomal RNA is filed under the name uncultured bacterium. RNAcentral describes it as "bacterial SSU rRNA". It matches the Rfam family "Bacterial small subunit ribosomal RNA", at positions 337 to 641 of the family's 1533-position model. The record is from RNAcentral.
ACCUACGGGAGGCGCAGUGAGGAAUAUUGGUCAAUGGUCGGGAGACUGAACCAGCCAAGCCGCGUGAGGGACGAAGGUACAGAGUAUCGUAAACCUCUUUUGUCAGGGAACAAAGGCGGGGACGCGUCCCCGGAUGAGUGUACCUGAAGAAAAAGCAUCGGCUAACUCCGUGCCAGCAGCCGCGGUAAUACGGAGGAUGCGAGCGUUAUCCGGAUUUAUUGGGUUUAAAGGGUGCGCAGGCGGUCUGUUAAGUCAGCGGUCAAAUCCCGGGGCUCAACCCCGGCCCGCCGUUGAAACUGGCAGUC